GAAGAAGAAGGUUCGGAAGUAGGGUGAUAACUUCUAUGAGGUUUCGUUUAGCUAUGAAAGAGUUCCCGUGGCGUGUUAUUUGUGUGGGAUUAUAGGACAUAGCGAGCUGAACUACCGGAAAAUGCUUGAUAUGCCAAACGGAAUCAUGGUUAGGGAGUAACCGGAGGAAAUCCUGGCGGAGGCUCGUCGACAGCCACGGAAAUCGCC
This 207-nucleotide long non-coding RNA is filed under the name Gossypium raimondii (Peruvian cotton). RNAcentral describes it as "long non-coding RNA (GRAI_LNC004748)". Lineage: Eukaryota; Viridiplantae; Streptophyta; Magnoliopsida; Malvales; Malvaceae. The record is from RNAcentral.